UGGGCUGGAGUACUGACUGCAGACAGGUGAACUAGGCAAGAAUCCCUGGAACUAAAGCACAAUGGAAAUCGCGAUAAUUGCAAGCAACCACAGUCCUGAUGUUGUCCCAUGUCAACAAGUGACGUCUUAAGGGUGUGGCUGUAUGUAUCUUGCCUGUACCCUGUACUGGAGGCCAGGAGCCGCCUUGUGAGAACAUGCACCUUGGGCAUCAGCCCUGUCAACGCUAAAGACCGCCCAACUUCGGCAUCAAGCUGCAAGCCACAUUAUUACAUAUUUUUAUUAAGAAAUGUUAAUGAAGAGUUGUAAAUUGAACUUUUAUAAUUUGAAUGAAGCCAUUAAAACCAUUAAAACCUUAAA
Molecule: long non-coding RNA, 357 nt
Organism: Nematostella vectensis (starlet sea anemone)
Lineage: Eukaryota; Metazoa; Cnidaria; Anthozoa; Actiniaria; Edwardsiidae
Exons: 2
Source: RefSeq, a predicted model, not a curated record